CGGAUCGGAAUCGCCGGCACCUCUGGGUCUGACCAGCCCCAUCAUCGCCGGGGUGAGCGCGGCAGCCGCCGGCUUCCUCCUCCUCCUCCUCCUUGUGGCCUUCGUCUGCUUCAGAAUAACCCGAGCCAGAAAAGGAGCCGCACUGAGACCGAGCAGCACCAGCCCCUUGGGGGUGUUGGAGGCCCCGGCUCAGCAAGACCCCAUCUGUG
This is a non-coding RNA of Chrysemys picta bellii (western painted turtle), 209 nucleotides long. The record is from RefSeq and is a predicted model, not a curated record. NCBI's taxonomy places the organism in Eukaryota, Metazoa, Chordata, Testudines, Emydidae.